GUGCUGAGUUGGGGGUGAUGCAAUGCAACGCAUAGGUGGAACCCGUUCUGUUAUUGAACCCUACUGCAAUUCCUCGUCGACAUUAUGCUCUGUUUUACCGAGAUGAGAACAAUAAUUUGAGAUGCACCGAGAGGACAAAACAUUGAAGAUAAAGCGUUCAAUUGACCUAACAAGUCUGCGAGUCUUGGUAUUCGGAAAAAAAAAGGAAUGGCUCGAAUCUCAUGUCUUCAACCAUGGACCUACUACUCAACAUCGCUCCGUCCCGAUUUCACACCGGCACGAACUCAUUGCCACACCGAGGGGGGCUAUUGUAGCUGCUGCAAUGCGAUUUAAAAUGAUAUCCGCUCAUAGAUUGUCUCCAGUGCAAGUCCUUGGCGAUCAACUUUUCUGAGUGAUCCUUUGACAUCUCAAGUAUUCGAGGGAGCCAUUGAAAUGAAGUUAGCCUAUAUGCUACUAAUUCAAUCUUCUCCCGCUUUCCCAGAUUCGUGUUGACACUGGCCCACAACCGAUGAGGAUGCAUCGAUCUGAGAAGAUAGAUGAUUGGAGAACAUCAUAAUCAUCAGGACACUGUAGCCAUGGUAACCAGCCAGCUGAAACGGUGAAAGAAAUUUUCUUAUCCCAUGACUCUUCACACUGAGUGACCCGAUCCAGUAGACAUCGUACACCACUCUUCAGCCGCAGCCUUUGAUCAUCAAGCAGUCUGCGAUGUGAAACAUGUGAAGCAAGCCAAGCAAGUCAAAGUUAUGUCUUUUCUGUAUGGUUAUAUGAAAUUUGUAAGAAAUUACGAAUUAUAUAAAUUAUUUCAUUACAUUAUGUACUGUACACUGAUUUUAGUUAUAAGAUCUAAGGGGAUGUUAUCAGUUACAUAAACAGAUUACUUUGGAAAUUCUAGAUAGAAAUUACCGUUAGAUCCCCCCUGCGUAUUGCGUAUACCAUAUUACCUUGGAAAGAGUUAUUCCCGAGUGCAACUCUUCCUAUCAUGUCACUACAGUUCUUUUAUGGGAUUUAUAAAACAUGAGAAUAUAGAAAGGAAGAGAAAAUAGAAAAAUUAUUCAUAUGAAUCAUAAUUCCAGAACGAUCAUAAACAUAAUAUCGCAUAGAUCAUGAGCUCAAUGUUUAGGGGCAUCUUCUAACGUUAUAAUUUUGUAGACUUUCUUGUGUAUGAAAGUGAAUUUCAUCGUUCUUCAUGGUAUAUGUAUAAGAGCGAGCUGAUUUAUCUCGGCAAAUAUCAAAAUAAUGAGCCAAGUAAAUGAUUCUGCGUAUGAUAAAUCGUCAUUUCGUUUGGAAUAGAAAUGGUUUCAGUAAAUAUAAAUCAUUUCUGAUCGACUAAGAAGGCCAAAUUACAGAUUUUCAUACAUUGAAAUAUAAGCAUACAUGAAAGAACUACACAAUGUUCGAUAGCAAGAGUAAAAUGAUAUCAAAAUUAUUAGUUUUUGAAAGGUUUAAUUGACUACUAGUUUACUUUUCCGUUUCAAAUUCAACAAAAUUUACCAUGUAAAGCAAAAUAUAAAUGACAUAUACGGGAACCUACUGGAAAGCACAAUUUGUUCAUGUGAGUUCCCUGCAAUAUGAUGGAUGAAGAGAUACGGAUCCCUUCAGGACUGAAAGUUCACAUAAAAGGGUUAACGACGACAGUGAGAAUAGGAAAAGUUUAUGAAUAUUAAAGAAGGGAAUAAAGAAAUACUUAUACGGAUGGGACACCCCUCCUACGCUGCAGCGAUAUGUUUCCUGACAUAUCUAAAGCAUUUUCUUUUCAUUAGCAUGCAGGGCAGUCAACUGCGCUAUUACUGCCCCGCAUCCUGGACAUCUUAGUUUGUAAUCAUGGAAAUGGCAAGAUUCUUUUGUGUGUCCAGAGCCCCGAAAAUUGAAAAAAAAAAUCGCCGAAUUGGGGACAGAUAGUCGUUGUGUCGACUAGCUUGCCUCUCACUCUCUUUUUGAUGCGUUUUGCAUACGUUACCUUUGGGUCUGUAGUUCUCUUGCAGCUCAUCAGCUGUUACGUCAAGGGGUACUGCGCCAAUACAAUUACACCCUUGGAACUAUUCCAGAGUUUUUACCUGUAUUCCUGCCCCAGUACAUUAGAAAACAUAAUAUAUUGAAAAGCGAUUGAGAUACAUUAAUAUAUCUUGAAGUUAAAGUUCUUGAUAAGGGAAAAGGUGUUCAAACUGUACUUUACCUAUAUAGUGUUGUCAUGUCGAGGAAUGCUGCUAUAACGAAAUCUUGAUUCAUGAAUAAUUUUUGAACAUCUGUGUUGAGUCUAGUUAAAUUAUCGAAAACACUUCUCUUUGGAGUGAAGUCAGAUUGAAUGGGGACAUCAAAUUAUGUUUCCAGUUCAGCUAAAAUCUUGUAGUUAUCAUUCUUUCCAUAAUUUUGCACAGGACCGAGGUUAGUGAAACCGGUUUAUAGGAUUUAGCAUCUGAUUUGUCUUUAUUUGCUUUUAAUAUUGGAACAACAAUUGAGGAUUUACAUUUUAGCGGCAAUUCAGAUGUUUUCCAUAUUAAAACGAAAAUACCUAGCAAUAUGAUGAUUGUAAUAUGGGGUAAAAUCUUCAUUAAUUAUUUCCAAAGUCAGUAUUAUUAAGCGAUGUCUCGUCGUCUAAUUCUUUUGGAUUAUGAAAGUUAUCUCCAAUGACAUUUGCCUUCAAUUCGUUAUUUUGAAUACUCUGCCCAUCAAUCUUUAGUGGAAGAUCGGAAAAUCUGCUUUUUGGUUUUUUUUUUCAAGCUCUAACUUUUUUUCACACCUCUGUAAGUGAGGUAGAUCUAUCAAUUGUAUCGCAAUAUUGUUCCCAAGAGUUCAUUUUGGCUUGUCUCAAAUUCGUUGUGCUACUGCCUUUUUAAAUUUAUAAUCUAAUCGGAAAAUUGCAAAGUUUUUUUAAUUUGCGAUUGGCUCUAUUACGUUUUCGAAUAGCAUCGUUGCAUUCUUUGGUCCAGCAUGAGUUUGUUAGGCGAGACGAUUUUCGAGAAUUAAUUUUGAGUAGAUAAUUCCAUUGCAUUUUCUAAAUUUUCUAUAGAAGUGUCAUAUGAAUCUUGGGUAGAACCCAUGAAUAAUUGAGUUUGGUUAAUAUUUUCAAUUUUUCUAAAUUUUAUAUAGAAGUGUCAUAUGAAUCUUGGGUAGAACCCAUGAAUAAUUGAGUUUGGUUAAUAUUUUCAAUUUUUUGUGUGUAGAUUUCCCAGUUUGUUUUAUGAACAGCUCAUGAGCGGUUUGGGGGUUGCGGUUUAUUUACAGUGACAUUACUCUCGUUCAUAUUAAUUUUGAUUUGGAUUACAAAAUGAUCACUAUACCCAAAGUAGUACCCUCCACCAGUCCUCCUACUGGCUCCUAGCAGCAAGUGCACAUGAAACCCUUGUUAGAUCGAGACAAGACAAUUUGCCAGUCCCGGGGUCAAUUCGUGUAUAACUCCCAUCAUUAUUUUAGUAAUACCAAAUUAUGAUCGGAGAUAAAAUUUUCAACAAUUUUACCAAUAUGAUCCCCAUUUGCACUCCCCAUAAAGGGUUGUGACUGUUGAAAUCCCCGCAUACAAUUACAUUUUGUUCACUAGCACAUACAAUCGAGUCAAGAUGAUUGGACCUCAUAGAUUUUGGAUUAUAAUAAAAGUUUUUAACUGUGUAAGAAGAGGAUCCAAUCGGCAUUUUUACUUGUUGGUCUUUUUCUGGAGGAGUAAAUAUAGUGAGAGGUGAGUUAUGUAGAAUUGUGGGUAUGAGAUUGUGGAGGAGUAGAAGUUUGGACAACCCGCCUUGUAGAUUAUAUUUUGGGGCGUUUGGAUUAAUAGGCAUUGUUUGGAGAUGCGUAGGUUUGGGGGGGAACAUUUCCUCCCGUUUGGAGUGCGUUGGCGUAGCUUAAGCCGUUUGUAAUUUUGGAGUUUUGGGGCAUAGAAUUUACUCUUUUGAGUGCUUCAGAAUAAGUUACGUUUUCUGUGUACUUUACAUUUUGUACACGUUUGGCUUUUUUAUAUGUUUCACAUCCCUGGUAUGCUGCGCUAUGGUGCUUUCCGCACCUUAGGCAGAUGAGGUCGUCCUUUUUUUUGACAAUUUUCGAGGGUAUGAUUUCCCAAACACAUCUUGUUUUCGAUCUACACGUUAAGGUAACCAAAACCUUGACAGUUUUGGCACCUCUGUACCGGUGGUACAUAUUUUGAUACUUUUUUGUAAUGUAUCCAAUGUGGACACUUUUUGGCAGCGCUUCGCUUUGCUUAAAAGCCAAAAAUUGUGGCGGUGGUAUCGAUGAGUUCGCCAUUCACACGUUUUUUUAUUCUUUUAACCAUGAGAGUUAAACUCAUCAAGGAGCUCCUCGUCCGUAACUGAUUGAGUAAUGCCUGUAAUUACUCCUUUUGCUGGCGGGUUCUGUGUCCAAAUAAAAGUUUUUAGAUGCAUAUUGUCCAGGCUGUCUAGGUUUAAGGCUCUUUUCUUCUGUCUUUUGCCUUUCGUCUUUGCAUUUCAAGAGGAUACAACGUCCCCAUUUUUUAUUUGCUUUGGUUCCCCUAUUUUCGAUUUGAUCUCGUUUGCCACAUGAAUAGGGUUUAGUUUGGAAAUAGAUUUGUGCUGCUCAAUGGGAGCAAGGCAAAUUGUUUGAAACAUGGUAUCAUUUGAUUGAGCCUCGCUCUUUUCUGGUGAGCUGUUGUUUCUCGCUCUCUUUUUGUUUGUGACGAUUCCGAACUCGUCGGAAUCAUCAACACCACUAGCCAUUUUAUGUGUGUCUUUUUAAGAUAUUAGCUGGGGAAGAGUUUAGGGGGGAGACUUCCAAUAACCUUGUCUGCAAGCUGGGUCCUGUAACCGGUAUCUCCGACGAUUGAUAAGCAGAAUUUGAUGCGAAGUGUACUGUGAGAACAGAAAGCCGAAAAUAAAUCACCAGAAGAGAGUGAAGAGUAUGAAGAGUAAGAAUGUCGCAGCAAUUUGGUCGUCGAGAGUGCGAGUGCCCAGUCCCAAUCGCCCUAUUUUCGCACCUUAGGCAGAGGGGGUAUUCCUUUUGGGGGCAAUUAUCGAGGGUAUGAUUACCCCCACACCUAACGCAUCUGGUUUUUGACACGUGUUUGUUUUAGGUGACCAAAACCUUGGCAGUUUUGCCACCUUUGUACCGGCGGUACGUAUUGGAUUUUGCGACCUUUUUGGUCAUGUAUCGAAUGUGGAUACUUUCUGGCAGCGCUUCGCCUUGCUUGAAAGACAAAAUGAUGGCGGUGGUGUCGAUGAGUUCGCAAUUUACGCGUUUCUUGAUUCUUUUUACGGCGGUCACUCCUUGAGAAUUAAGCUCAUCAAGGAGCUCCUCGUCCGUAACGGAUUGAGGAAUGCCUGUGAGAAAUGUGGGAUGCACAAGA
Lytechinus pictus (painted urchin) is the source of this 5305-nucleotide long non-coding RNA. RefSeq lists it as uncharacterized. The transcript has 5 exons. The record is from RefSeq and is a predicted model, not a curated record. Lineage: Eukaryota; Metazoa; Echinodermata; Echinoidea; Temnopleuroida; Toxopneustidae.